UACGUAGGGUGCAAGCGUUAAUCGGAAUUACUGGGCGUAAAGCGUGCGCAGGCGGUUUUGUAAGUCUGUCGUGAAAGCCCCGGGCUCAACCUGGGAAUUGCGAUGGAGACUGCAAGGCUAGAAUCUGGCAGAGGGGGGUAGAAUUCCACGUGUAGCAGUGAAAUGCGUAGAGAUGUGGAGGAACACCGAUGGCGAAGGCAGCCCCCUGGGAUAACACUGACGCUCAUGCACGAAAGCGUGGGGAGCAAACAGG
This 253-nucleotide ribosomal RNA is filed under the name uncultured bacterium. RNAcentral describes it as "partial 16S ribosomal RNA". It matches the Rfam family "Bacterial small subunit ribosomal RNA", at positions 524 to 776 of the family's 1533-position model. The record is from RNAcentral.